This is a non-coding RNA of Paramuricea clavata, 101 nucleotides long. NCBI's taxonomy places the organism in Eukaryota, Metazoa, Cnidaria, Anthozoa, Malacalcyonacea, Plexauridae. The record is from the annotation of a GenBank genome assembly.
GCCUCUGUAGCUCAGUUGGUUAGAGCUCGACAACUGGCCUCUGUAGUUCAAUUGGUUAGAGCGCUGCACUCGAAUCGCAGGUUUGAUUCCUGCUAGGGUCG